Molecule: long non-coding RNA, 3596 nt
Filed under: Brassica napus (rape)
Lineage: Eukaryota; Viridiplantae; Streptophyta; Magnoliopsida; Brassicales; Brassicaceae
Description: long non-coding RNA (BNAP_LNC025693)
Source: RNAcentral
UCGGUCAUGGAUUUGAUCCCUGUCGUACCAUGUGAAUCAUAGACCAAUGCAGCCAAGAAUCCAUAGAUCAAUGAUCCUAUUGGUAUGUUUGUGAUCAAGAUAUUGUGGUUAACUCCAACACUGUUUGGUCCAAAAAGCUCUGAGGUGAUGGAAACAGCUGCGGCGAAUAUGAAUCCUGAGCUUAGACCCAUCAGAGCAGUUCCAACUUGUAGUGCUGACGCGGUUCCUGAUGAUGCAAGCAAGAAAAGCGCGAUUGGUGUUGGUAAUAGCGCGAUUGCUAACCACCCGGUUCUUGCAAAAUAAACCUUUCUGCACAACUUAAACCAAGUCAAAACCCGCAGAACCAAACCAUAAACUCCAUAAAAUUAAUAUUUGAUAAAUUAGUAAAUACGGUAAAUUAAUAAAUUUCGCUUACGCUCGGAUAUAGUCUGGUGUCGCAGAGAGUAGUCUUCCAAAGAACGAGAAAGAUGAGUAAAGUGUGACAAGAGUUGUGGUGUUUGAGCUUUGUCCUAAAGACUGAGCAAUCUGACCGAGGUUGUUGCUGUACACAAGUCCAAUGGUUUACCGAAAAGAGUCACGUCGGAGCUCCGCCGCCCGCGGAAAAGGAUCAGUGAAAAACCAACAUAGUGGUCUUCACGGAAGGCCAAGACGCAACCGGUCCACCGCUUCGGAAGAAAACCACCGUCUGCAAUCGAUCCAAAAGAACUUUGAUCUUCCUUCAUGAACGAGCAGUCAUCUUUGUUGAUAGGAAUAAGCAUGAAGAUGAGACGACCUAAUUACAUGGAGUGAAAGGCUUCGGAGGAUUAGAUCGAGAGUCGAUGGGACAAAGAAGGGGCAAAAACGACGAUCAAGCGGAACCGAGAAAAAACCCGGUGAAGAGCCGGCGAAGAGAUAUAACGGGAACACCUCUUUCCGGAGACAAAAGCCGGCGAAGAUAACGCUAAGAGAAUCGCUACUUCCCGGAGGCAAAGCCCGAUCAAUCGGGAACCAUAACCGGAAGAUCCGGAGAUGGAAAACAAAAACAGUCGGCGAGAUCUCUUAUUCUGAAAGAUUUAAGGGAGAUAAGAAGAAGAGAAAUAGAGAGAACAACUCUCUCUCUCCGAAAAGAGAGAAGCCGACUCUUUAUUUCAUAACUAAAGUUUUCAUAUUCUAUUUUGCUUUCCAAAUAAUUUAUUUUCUAAGCAUAUUUUUUUUAAAAAAGAAACAAAUUGAUCAAUAAUUAAAAGUCUUUGCCAAUUAAAGAAACACCACAACAUAUGAGGACCUAAUAACAAUUUAUUCAAAUCAUGAGCCAUGUGAUACGCGCGUUUUUCGGCAUGUGGAAUUAAGUAACCACCGUCGACUAAAAACCUCGAGAUUAAUAAAAACUCAAAAUCCAUUCUCUCUGCUCUUGAUUCACGUCAAAGUUCUUGUGUUCUUGUGCUUGAGCUGAGCCAGAUUCGUUCCAUAUUUUCGUUAUUCGUUUUUAUUCUUUUAUUCAGCUCGAGUUUGCAGUUUAGAGCUAAGUCUGAGUUGUAUUUUUUCUUGUAAGACGAGCUAAAGUCUAAAAAGACAGAAGAAGAAAAAGUCAAAAUAAUGCCUUCAAAAACCAAACACAAGAAACCUAGACUUUGCACUUUUCUCUUCUUCACCGUCCCCUUUAGCAUCCUAUCUCUCUUCCUCCUCCACACAUCCUCUUGCUCCUCUUCCACCGCCGCAUUCUCCUCCUCUUACACAUAUCAGCCACCGUGGUCUGGCGACCUCCAAACCGCCCAGUUUCCCUGGAACCGCCUUGCUUUCUCCUUAACCAGCCCUCCUCCCAAAACUCUAAAACUCGCUGUUUUUUCCCGUAAAUGGCCCAAUGGACCUAACCCGGGCGGUAUGGAACGCCACGCCCUCACUCUCUACACUGCUCUAGCCCGCCGUGGACACCGCGUCCACGUUUUCACCUCUCCCUUAGACCCUUCCCUUGAAACCAACAAAAUCAUAAACCCUACAAUACAUUCCCACGGAGGUUCAGAGCCCGGCAAAUGGCAAUACAGAAAAGCAUGGGAUCUUUACCAAGAAGAGAACCAGAAACAACCUUUUGACGUGGUCCACUCCGAGAGCGUGUCUUUACCGUACUGGAAGGCCCGGGAGGUUCCAAACCUAGCCGUAACAUGGCACGGCAUUGCGCUAGAGAGCUUACACUCGAGCCUUUACCAAGAUCUUAUCCGCAAACCAGGAGAACCAAGAUUACAAAGCUUCAACGCAAGCCUACACAGUGCCGUGCUUCCCAAGAUACUCGACGAAAUCAGAUUCUUCCACAACUACGCUCAUCAUAUAGCAAUCAGCGAUAGCUGCGGGGAAAUGCUAAGAGACGUUUACCAGAUUCCGGAGAAAAGGGUCCACGUGAUCCUCAACGGAGUCGAUGAAAAGGGAUUCAGUUCAGACAAGAAGCUACGUUCUCUGUUUAGGUCGAAACUUGGGCUACAAGAAAAGUCAUCGGCGAUUGUUUUAGGAGUCGCAGGGAGAUUGGUGAAAGAUAAAGGACAUCCGUUACUCUUCGAAGCUUUCUCAAAACUAAUCGAAACGCAUUCUAAUGUUCACCUCGUGGUGGCUGGAUCAGGUCCGUGGGAGCAACGUUACAAGAAACUUGGCGAUAAAGUUACCGUUUUGGGAUCCCUAAACCCAAAUGAGCUCAAGGGAUUUUACAAUGGAAUCGAUAUAUUCGUGAAUCCCACGCUAAGACCACAAGGGCUUGAUUUAACUCUGAUGGAAGCGAUGUUGAGUGGUAAACCAGUGAUGGCGUCGAGGUAUCCGAGCAUAAAGAGGAGUGUUGUGGUGAAUGACGAGUUUGGGUUUAUGUUUGCACCUAAUGUGGAGGCUCUGACGGCGGUUAUGGAAGCUGCGGUGGCCGAAGGAGCGGAGAGGUUGGCUGAGAGAGGGUGGAAGUGUAGAGAGUAUGCGGCGGAGAUGUUCACAGCGAGUAAGAUGGCUUUGGCUUAUGAGAGGCUGUUUCUUUGUAUUAAAGAUCAGAGGUUUUGUAUAUAUCCCUAAAGUUGUAAGUACUGAAAUGGAAAGUGAACCUUUGUUUAUAUAAAAUGUUUAACAGUCCAUUAUAACUUCUGUUAUAAUGUAGAUCCUACAUAUAUAAUGAUAUACACACAAGCCAUUGGGGGAUUGAGACAAGUUUCUAUGAAUCAAUGUUUGAACUUAUCCGAGCUUGUUCAAACCGUUGAUAAGCUUUUCUAGUUCUUAUAAACAGGACAAGACUCGAACCUAGUCCAAGUACCGACAAGCAUCCCCACCAGACAAACGUCAUGUGAUAGCAACCUCGUCCCAUACACACAACAGAGUCGGUCAUGGAUUUGAUCCCUGUCGUACCAUGUGAAUCAUAGACCAAUGCAGCCAAGAAUCCAUAGAUCAAUGAUCCUAUUGGUAUGUUUGUGAUCAAGAUAUUGUGGUUAACUCCAACACUGUUUGGUCCAAAAAGCUCUGAGGUGAUGGAAACAGCUGCGGCGAAUAUGAAUCCUGAGCUUAGACCCAUCAGAGCAGUUCCAACUUGUAGUGCUGACGCGGUUCCUGAUGAUGCAAGCAAGAAAAGCGCGAUUGGUGUUGGUAAUAGCGCGAUUGCU